Molecule: ribosomal RNA, 510 nt
Filed under: uncultured bacterium
Lineage: Bacteria
Description: bacterial SSU rRNA
Rfam family: Bacterial small subunit ribosomal RNA
Source: RNAcentral
UAGUCCACGCCGUAAACGAUGGACACUAGUUGUUGGAAUUAUUCAGUGACUAAGCGAAAGUAAUAAGUGUCCCACCUGGGGAGUACGAUCGCAAGAUUGAAACUCAAAGGAAUUGACGGGGGCCCGCACAAGCGGUGGAGCAUGUGGUUUAAUUCGAUGAUACGCGAGGAACCUUACCAGGGCUUAAAUGUAGACUGACAGCUUUAGAGAUAGAGUUUUCUUCGGACAGUUUACAAGGUGCUGCAUGGUUGUCGUCAGCUCGUGCCGUGAGGUGUCAGGUUAAGUCCUAUAACGAGCGCAACCCCUAUCGUUAGUUGCUAGCAGGUAAAGCUGAGGACUCUAGCGAGACUGCCGGCGCAAGCCGAGAGGAAGGUGGGGAUGACGUCAAAUCAUCAUGGCCUUUAUGCCCAGGGCUACACACGUGCUACAAUGGACAGGACAAAGGGUCGCCAAACCGCGAGGUGGAGCUAAUCCCAGAAACCUGUUCUCAGUUCGGAUUGAAGUCUGUAA